Molecule: ribosomal RNA, 475 nt
Filed under: uncultured organism
Description: partial 16S ribosomal RNA
Rfam family: Bacterial small subunit ribosomal RNA
Source: RNAcentral
CACUCCUGCGGGAGGCAGCAGUGGGGAAUUUUGGACAAUGGGCGAAAGCCUGAUCCAGCAAUGCCGCGUGAGUGAAGAAGGCCUUCGGGUUGUAAAGCUCUUUUGUCAGGGAAGAAACGGUGAAAGCUAAUAUCUUUUGCUAAUGACGGUACCUGAAGAAUAAGCACCGGCUAACUACGUGCCAGCAGCCGCGGUAAUACGUAGGGUGCAAGCGUUAAUCGGAAUUACUGGGCGUAAAGCGUGCGCAGGCGGUUUUGUAAGUCUGAUGUAAAAUCCCCGGGCUCAACCUGGGAAUUGCAUUGGAGACUGCAAGGCUAGAAUCUGGCAGAGGGGGGUAGAAUUCCACGUGUAGCAGUGAAAUGCGUAGAUAUGUGGGGGAACACCGAUGGCGAAGGCAGCCCCCUGGGUCAAGAUUGACGCUCAUGCACGAAAGCGUGGGGAGCAAACAGGAUUAGAUACCCCGGUAGUCCCAUGA